CAUUCUUCCCCAAUGGACCGUUUAUCUUAUUGGUGGUCACGAGUGACCACCGUGGCGCCUUGGUAACAGUUGAUAGCGACGUAUUAUAACAAGGCUUCGUUUAUUUCAACAAAACAUUCGCAUUCGUUGUUUCGUCGUAAGCAAAACGCGCAGAAUAUAUCGUUGAAACGUGUAGAAGAUAUUAGUAAACGGUAUUUGCUCAUUCCAUAUAUAAUAGUAAGAUUACCCGUCAAAGAUAUGGAUGCAAACACAGUGCACCGUUAGAU
This 266-nucleotide unclassified non-coding RNA is filed under the name Bombus terrestris (buff-tailed bumblebee). Its description in RNAcentral is "misc RNA ENSBTSG00005028234.1". Lineage: Eukaryota; Metazoa; Arthropoda; Insecta; Hymenoptera; Apidae. The record is from RNAcentral.